Cervus elaphus (red deer) is the source of this 326-nucleotide long non-coding RNA. RefSeq lists it as uncharacterized. NCBI's taxonomy places the organism in Eukaryota, Metazoa, Chordata, Mammalia, Artiodactyla, Cervidae. The transcript has 3 exons. The record is from RefSeq and is a predicted model, not a curated record.
GCCGGCUGCCCAGGAAGACCACGCCGACGAAGAGGAAGGCGAAGGUGACGCCCGUCAGGCACAGCAGCAGGAACACGCGCCGCUGGAAGCGCCCGAACUCGCCGGCCCGCUGCAGCGCCUCAUCGAAGGACGGCAUGUGAGUCGUUCAAGAAGCAGUGUGCACCCCAGCAGGGAGAGUGGCCCUGCCCAGCGCCUACACCCAGAAACUACAUGCAGUGUCUCACCUUCAGGGCGGCAUAGGUUUGAAUUGCCUGUGAGCAUCUGUGCUUCAUCUCUGUUUAUUUUCUGCGUCUGUUACCCAGUACUCAUGUAUAGAUGUGAGAUUU